CCCUAUAAAGCUUAAUAAUUUAGUAUAUAAUUAGAUGAGUUGAAAGUUUAAUAUUAUUUAUAUACUAAAUUAUUUCGUUGGGGCGACGAUGAUAUAAUUUGUAACUGUUUAAAUUUAAAAUACAGAGAUAUUUGUGUGUAAUGAUCCUUGUUGUUGAUUAAAAAUUUAAGUUACUUUAGGGAU
This 183-nucleotide ribosomal RNA is filed under the name Homarus gammarus (European lobster). RNAcentral's name for it is "partial 16S ribosomal RNA". The record is from RNAcentral. Lineage: Eukaryota; Metazoa; Arthropoda; Malacostraca; Decapoda; Nephropidae.